CCAGCUCCAAUAGCGUAUAUUAAAGUUGUUGCAGUUAAAUAGCUCGUAGUUGAAUUUUGGGCGGGGCCGGCGGUCGCGGCGUUUGUCGUGUACUGUUGGUUCUGUCUUUCCUUCUGGGGAACGUGUGUGCACUUUACUGUGUGUGCGCGGGAUCCAGGACUUUUACUUUGAAAAAAUUAGAGUGUUUAAAGCGGGCGAUUGCUUGAAUACAUUAGCAUGGAAUAAUAGAAUAGGACUUUGGUUCUAUUUUGUUGGUUUCUAGGACCGAAGUAAUGAUUAAUAGGGAUAGUUGGGGGCAUUAGUAUUUAAUUGUCAGAGGUGAAAUUCUUGGAUUUAUGAAAGACUAACUUCUGCGAAAGCAUUUGCCAAGGAUGUUUUCA
RNAcentral lists this ribosomal RNA (380 nucleotides) under uncultured Chytridiales. Its description in RNAcentral is "SSU rRNA". It matches the Rfam family "Eukaryotic small subunit ribosomal RNA", at positions 585 to 972 of the family's 1831-position model. Lineage: Eukaryota; Fungi; Chytridiomycota; Chytridiomycetes; Chytridiales. The record is from RNAcentral.